RNAcentral lists this ribosomal RNA (435 nucleotides) under uncultured Lachnospiraceae bacterium. RNAcentral's name for it is "partial 16S ribosomal RNA". It matches the Rfam family "Bacterial small subunit ribosomal RNA", at positions 341 to 792 of the family's 1533-position model. Lineage: Bacteria; Bacillati; Bacillota; Clostridia; Lachnospirales; Lachnospiraceae. The record is from RNAcentral.
ACGGGAGGCAGCAGUAGGGAAUAUUGCACAAUGGGGGGAACCCUGAUGCAGCGACGCCGCGUGAGUGAUGAAGUAUUUCGGUACGUAAAACUCUAUCAGCAGGGAAGAUAAUGACGGUACCUGACUAAGAAGCCCCGGCUAACUACGUGCCAGCAGCCGCGGUAAUACGUAGGGGGCAAGCGUUAUCCGGAUUUACUGGGUGUAAAGGGAGUGUAGGUGGUUUGGCAAGCCAGAUGUGAAAGCCCGGGGCUCAACCCCGCGGACUGCAUUUGGAACUGUUAAACUUGAGUGCAGGAGAGGAAAGUGGAAUUCCUAGUGUAGCGGUGAAAUGCGUAGAUAUUAGGAGGAACACCGGUGGCGAAGGCGGCUUACUGGACUGUAACUGACGUUGAGGCUCGAAAGCGUGGGGAGCAAACAGGAUUAAAUACCCUGGUA